Molecule: ribosomal RNA, 2927 nt
Filed under: Escherichia coli
Lineage: Bacteria; Pseudomonadati; Pseudomonadota; Gammaproteobacteria; Enterobacterales; Enterobacteriaceae
Description: 23S ribosomal RNA
Rfam family: Bacterial large subunit ribosomal RNA
Source: RNAcentral
GGGUUGUGAGGUUAAGCGACUAAGCGUACACGGUGGAUGCCCUGGCAGUCAGAGGCGAUGAAGGACGUGCUAAUCUGCGAUAAGCGUCGGUAAGGUGAUAUGAACCGUUAUAACCGGCGAUUUCCGAAUGGGGAAACCCAGUGUGUUUCGACACACUAUCAUUAACUGAAUCCAUAGGUUAAUGAGGCGAACCGGGGGAACUGAAACAUCUAAGUACCCCGAGGAAAAGAAAUCAACCGAGAUUCCCCCAGUAGCGGCGAGCGAACGGGGAGCAGCCCAGAGCCUGAAUCAGUAUGUGUGUUAGUGGAAGCGUCUGGAAAGGCGCGCGAUACAGGGUGACAGCCCCGUACACAAAAAUGCACAUGCUGUGAGCUCGAUGAGUAGGGCGGGACACGUGGUAUCCUGUCUGAAUAUGGGGGGACCAUCCUCCAAGGCUAAAUACUCCUGACUGACCGAUAGUGAACCAGUACCGUGAGGGAAAGGCGAAAAGAACCCCGGCGAGGGGAGUGAAAAAGAACCUGAAACCGUGUACGUACAAGCAGUGGGAGCACGCUUAGGCGUGUGACUGCGUACCUUUUGUAUAAUGGGUCAGCGACUUAUAUUCUGUAGCAAGGUUAACCGAAUAGGGGAGCCGAAGGGAAACCGAGUCUUAACUGGGCGUUAAGUUGCAGGGUAUAGACCCGAAACCCGGUGAUCUAGCCAUGGGCAGGUUGAAGGUUGGGUAACACUAACUGGAGGACCGAACCGACUAAUGUUGAAAAAUUAGCGGAUGACUUGUGGCUGGGGGUGAAAGGCCAAUCAAACCGGGAGAUAGCUGGUUCUCCCCGAAAGCUAUUUAGGUAGCGCCUCGUGAAUUCAUCUCCGGGGGUAGAGCACUGUUUCGGCAAGGGGGUCAUCCCGACUUACCAACCCGAUGCAAACUGCGAAUACCGGAGAAUGUUAUCACGGGAGACACACGGCGGGUGCUAACGUCCGUCGUGAAGAGGGAAACAACCCAGACCGCCAGCUAAGGUCCCAAAGUCAUGGUUAAGUGGGAAACGAUGUGGGAAGGCCCAGACAGCCAGGAUGUUGGCUUAGAAGCAGCCAUCAUUUAAAGAAAGCGUAAUAGCUCACUGGUCGAGUCGGCCUGCGCGGAAGAUGUAACGGGGCUAAACCAUGCACCGAAGCUGCGGCAGCGACGCUUAUGCGUUGUUGGGUAGGGGAGCGUUCUGUAAGCCUGCGAAGGUGUGCUGUGAGGCAUGCUGGAGGUAUCAGAAGUGCGAAUGCUGACAUAAGUAACGAUAAAGCGGGUGAAAAGCCCGCUCGCCGGAAGACCAAGGGUUCCUGUCCAACGUUAAUCGGGGCAGGGUGAGUCGACCCCUAAGGCGAGGCCGAAAGGCGUAGUCGAUGGGAAACAGGUUAAUAUUCCUGUACUUGGUGUUACUGCGAAGGGGGGACGGAGAAGGCUAUGUUGGCCGGGCGACGGUUGUCCCGGUUUAAGCGUGUAGGCUGGUUUUCCAGGCAAAUCCGGAAAAUCAAGGCUGAGGCGUGAUGACGAGGCACUACGGUGCUGAAGCAACAAAUGCCCUGCUUCCAGGAAAAGCCUCUAAGCAUCAGGUAACAUCAAAUCGUACCCCAAACCGACACAGGUGGUCAGGUAGAGAAUACCAAGGCGCUUGAGAGAACUCGGGUGAAGGAACUAGGCAAAAUGGUGCCGUAACUUCGGGAGAAGGCACGCUGAUAUGUAGGUGAAGUUGCUCGUGGAGCUGAAAUCAGUCGAAGAUACCAGCUGGCUGCAACUGUUUAUUAAAAACACAGCACUGUGCAAACACGAAAGUGGACGUAUACGGUGUGACGCCUGCCCGGUGCCGGAAGGUUAAUUGAUGGGGUCAGCGCAAGCGAAGCUCUUGAUCGAAGCCCCGGUAAACGGCGGCCGUAACUAUAACGGUCCUAAGGUAGCGAAAUUCCUUGUCGGGUAAGUUCCGACCUGCACGAAUGGCGUAAUGAUGGCCAGGCUGUCUCCACCCGAGACUCAGUGAAAUUGAACUCGCUGUGAAGAUGCAGUGUACCCGCGGCAAGACGGAAAGACCCCGUGAACCUUUACUAUAGCUUGACACUGAACAUUGAGCCUUGAUGUGUAGGAUAGGUGGGAGGCUUUGAAGUGUGGACGCCAGUCUGCAUGGAGCCGACCUUGAAAUACCACCCUUUAAUGUUUGAUGUUCUAACGUUGACCCGUGAUCCGGGUUGCGGACAGUGUCUGGUGGGUAGUUUGACUGGGGCGGUCUCCUCCUAAAGAGUAACGGAGGAGCACGAAGGUUGGCUAAUCCUGGUCGGACAUCAGGAGGUUAGUGCAAUGGCAUAAGCCAGCUUGACUGCGAGCGUGACGGCGCGAGCAGGUGCGAAAGCAGGUCAUAGUGAUCCGGUGGUUCUGAAUGGAAGGGCCAUCGCUCAACGGAUAAAAGGUACUCCGGGGAUAACAGGCUGAUACCGCCCAAGAGUUCAUAUCGACGGCGGUGUUUGGCACCUCGAUGUCGGCUCAUCACAUCCUGGGGCUGAAGUAGGUCCCAAGGGUAUGGCUGUUCGCCAUUUAAAGUGGUACGCGAGCUGGGUUUAGAACGUCGUGAGACAGUUCGGUCCCUAUCUGCCGUGGGCGCUGGAGAAUUGAGGGGGGCUGCUCCUAGUACGAGAGGACCGGAGUGGACGCAUCACUGGUGUUCGGGUUGUCAUGCCAAUGGCACUGCCCGGUAGCUAAAUGCGGAAGAGAUAAGUGCUGAAAGCAUCUAAGCACGAAACUUGCCCCGAGAUGAGUUCUCCCUGACUCCUUGAGAGUCCUGAAGGAACGUUGAAGACGACGACGUUGAUAGGCCGGGUGUGUAAGCGCAGCGAUGCGUUGAGCUAACCGGUACUAAUGAACCGUGAGGCUUAACCUUACAACGCCGAAGGUGUUU